GCUGCUCCUAGAAGCACUGCAGGUGUAACUGCUGUGCCACCCUUUCAUUAAUAGUUGACAGAGAAGAGAGAGGUUAUGUCUAUGAUCAGUGUUCUGAUCUGUAAGCAUCUGAAUGAUAGUAGCCUGACAUU
Molecule: small nucleolar RNA, 131 nt
Organism: Apodemus sylvaticus (European woodmouse)
Lineage: Eukaryota; Metazoa; Chordata; Mammalia; Rodentia; Muridae
Product: small nucleolar RNA SNORA17
Exons: 1
Source: RefSeq, a predicted model, not a curated record